This 3791-nucleotide long non-coding RNA is filed under the name Homarus americanus (American lobster). RNAcentral's name for it is "uncharacterized LOC121875012". The record is from RNAcentral. Lineage: Eukaryota; Metazoa; Arthropoda; Malacostraca; Decapoda; Nephropidae.
GUCAUUAUCGACAGCUGCAACCCUGUUAUCCUCGGCAGCUGUAACAAGACGUUCACGGACAGCUGUAACAAGACAAUCGUCGACGGCUGUACCUAGGCCCUGAGAGACGGGUGGGUGGAGGUGCAGGUGUCCGGGAGCAGCUGUCAAGGUCUGGUGGAAACAGCUGCGUUCACCGCCAGUCAACAAGCUGCCAACCAGGGUCCUGGUAUCACCACUUGGGCUGUAAGGGUCACCAUCUGGACCGCUUGGUUCACCAUCUGGACCGCUUGGUUCACCAUCUGGACCGCUUGAUUCACCAUCUGGACCGCUUGGUUCACCAUCUGAGCUGCUUGGUUCACCUUCUGAGCUGUUUGGUUCACCAUCUGGGAUGCAGAUUAACCCCUUGGAUUGGCAGGACACUGAGAAUGCAAGGUCACCAUUUGGGCUGCAAGGUUCACCACCUGGAAUGUCAGGGCACCAUUUAGGGCGCAAGGUUCAUCAUCUGAGGCGUCAGGUAGAUCGUCUGGACUGUCAGAUCACCAUCUGGGCUGUCAGAUCACCAUCUGGACUGUCAGAUCACCAUCUGGACUGUCAGAUCACCGUCUGGACUGCCUAGUUCACCAUCUGGACAAUCGAUUUCACUAUCUAAAGCACCAGGUCCAGAACCUGGACUGCCAGGUCACCAUCUCGACUGCCAGGUCACCAUCUGGCCUGCUAGGUCACCAUCUGGGCUGCCAGGUCACCAUUUAGACUGUUACGAUCACCAUCUGAGACGCAAGUUUCACCACCCAGGUUCAUGACAGGUCAAGAAGUCGUCAGCGGGACCUCGUGGCCCGUUACAAGGCUGAACAGAGUGAGAAAAACAAAACGCACAAUAGGCUUAUCAGACUCAUUGUGUUCCUGUCGUCACACUGGUUUGCCAACUCCAAUGUCAAUGAUUACCUCCCUGUUAUUAUCAAGGUAAUGGAGCUGUAGAGUCCAUUAUACUUACCCUAAAUAACAAGGGCACAGGGGGUAGGGGUGGAGGUGGCUGGGGCUGCACCUGAGGACAUUAUUUCAUUGAUCAGUGUGGUGGCGGCAGCACGUGGUCUUCACACCUGGCCCCAAGAACACUCAACUUAGGUUUCAGACGUCAAUUCAUUCUCUUCACUACGAGGCCUGGGUUGUCUGCAUUACAACUCCUAAUAUUGACGUUGCAGCAUUAAAAUAAGCAUACAGUGAUAACUCUUGGUAAGGGAAAGUAAACGAGUACACUCUAGUUAGGGCGAGUCGGCAUAACUGUAGCGAGAGUUUGGCUAACUAAGGUUCAUUAAAUAGUGAUGCUCAUUGGGGACUAAAGGCCAUAGCACAACAGCUUGCGUACUCCCACGUGUUGAAUCAUUGACUAACAAAAACCGUUAAGCGGUGUACAGGACGACAUCUGUCCAAUAAUCGGCGGGAUCAAUUAUUUAAUAUCUGGCCAGCUGCUACUUAGCGCGCGCAAACGUAACGCCGCGGUCGUCCUCCGUCAGCUGUUCCGGGUGUGACGACCAUCCACGACUUUCAUUAGAAGUCACAUUUCAUGAUAAUAGGGAUUAAUUGAAGUUAAUUUUGCGUUCGUCCGUAUCAUCUGUAAACCUUAAUUCUGAAUAAACCAAAUAUAACUGUCUUUUAAUAUUGUAAAGUAAUUAAUGUUUAUUAAUGAAAGGUGAGGUCCAGUAAUGAAGGGUAGACAAACAGGCCCAUGUACAGGAGACGGUUAACGCGGCAGCCGUGGAACAUCCGGCUGUGUGUGGGUGCCGCCACUCACACGUGCAGGGAGGCUGUUGCUGCAGCUGUCCGUGUGUCUGUCUGUCGCCUAACACCCGUCGUCCCAGCUGUCCACUGUCUAUGCGUCCGUCUAUCGCCUAACACCGGGCGGGCCAGCUGCGCGGGUAGUGGGCCACACGUGUGUAAACGUUACCAGUGGUAAAUUAGUCAGUGCCCAGCUGGCGGUCAGGUAGAAGCUUUAACGCGCCGCCUUUACCUUAGUGUUGUCCUCGCUCCCAACGUAGCUGUACCAUGUGUGUGGGCAUCCAUCUGUGUCGUGCUGUGUCGGUCUUCAUUUGUGUCAAUGUUAAUUAUGUGCGCAGGUUUACUGGCUGUGAGAAGCGUUGCCACGAUGGUCUGGCGCCCCACCACAACAAACACUGCCCACCCAGGUCCUCUCUCACUCCCUUCUUCAUUAGUUUCAUCUUUUACGCUCACUGUGGUGAAUUAAAAUAUAGGUUUCUCGCCACUGUGAACCUAAUCUGACGUAAAAUAUGUUAUCAGUAUGUGGAGACAACGUGAAGAGCAGCGAAGUGGUGAAGUUGGCAACAGUGGAGGAGAGAAAGCUAAGUUUGGUCAGAGGCGUAACCCACCCAAGAACCCGGUGUAGCGACCACCGUCUUCCCUACCUAUUAUUACUCCAUCUGUUGUUUUGUACGCUCUUUAUACCUCUACAAACAUGGCGUAUGUUCUUGUAUACCCUAUGUUUGUGUGGUUGAUGUAUGUUAGUGUUGUGUUGGGGAGUAUGAAGCAUGUGGCGUGGGAAGGAUUAUAUAUGAGUGUGUGGUGGCACGUGGUAGUGCUGCCAGCCCUUGUGGUUCCCGGGUUGAGGUAUGUGGGUGUGGAGCGUCAAGGUGGUGCUCCAGACCUACCUCCUCCUCCUCCUCCCUCCCCCUACACCCGCCUCAUGUGUCACGCGGGCUGUCCACUAACCCCACCCAACAUCUAACUGUUCCUCCAACCUCUGACCUAACUUAACCAACCCCACCCAACAAACAUCUCACUGUGUUCUGACCCUCAAGACCUAAGCUAACCUCAUACAGCAUCUCACCCUUCAAACUGACCUAAGUUCGUCACCUUUAACAUCAUCCCUACGGUCUCGGCUGCAUAACUAACCUCUUGACUCUUCAUUACCACCCACUACCAUUACCAACCUCAACCAUCACCCUAAUGACAAGGGAAAACAACCAGUCCUCUUAACUUCCGGUUUUACUUAACACGUGUCUCUCCUUCUCCUACACCCCUCACCACUCUUCAUUACCUGUUGGGUCGUGGGGGUCGGAGAAGGGGAGGGGAGGGAGGGAUGAGGUGAGGACCAUCUGAACUCUCACCUCCCGCCAACGCGCUCUCUUGUCACCCCUCUACUUCCUGUAAACAAACGAUCAUAGAAAACGGUGCUUCAAACCCACAGUGUAAAAGACGUCUUAAACAUUUUACGAAGGAAUGCCAUAAGGAGUCUAGGUUAAUAGUACCUACCCCAACACUUUAUAGACCAAGAAGGAAACAUAACUUUAUAAUCAUCCAGAGACAACCUCAGCUCUCGGCCGUAUACUGUAAACUUUAUACUGUACCAUUAUACCAAGUCAGUGCUGCGCUACGCUGUCAUCUGCAUAAUAAUAUCAUGUACAAUUAUCACGACCAUGCUACAACUGCCACCAACAUAACUUUAGUCGAGUGCAAUUGCCUGUCAUGUUAACUCAAGACUGGCAAGCCAACUACACCAUCUAGGAUACUGGGACACAGGAGAGAGAGAGGUGUCUAUUCUCCCCAAGGUGUAGAGCUUUAUGUGUGCGUGAGAUACAUAGUUCAGUGCCAUGAGUUGGAAAGAAGCUUUAGUAGUAGUCUUACGUUAGAUUUACCUGCAACUCAUUUUUCUCCUUACAUUAAGUUUAUAAUGAUUGGUAUAGUGUGGGUACAGCAUGAACUGUUGUAUAUAUAUAUAACAUUAUGUUUUUUGUACAUAUUAUGACUGACUGUAAAUUAAGAUAUAAUAUUCUUACGUGAAAUAAACUAUUUUUUCAAUC